RNAcentral lists this long non-coding RNA (1128 nucleotides) under Cottoperca gobio. RNAcentral describes it as "lncRNA (ENSCGOG00000023226.1)". Lineage: Eukaryota; Metazoa; Chordata; Actinopteri; Perciformes; Bovichtidae. The record is from RNAcentral.
AACACAUCAUCCCUGAUCUUUCUGAAUUCUAUUCUUGGAUGUUCGUCCAACAGAUUUGACCAAAAAAUACAGAAUUUGAUUGCAUAAAUAUUAUGUAGAAAAUGAUUAGGCUAUUUAUUAGACCAGAUGAAAUAUGAGAUUCUGAUGUUUUCAAACUCAAAGCCGGUCAAGUCGUGCUGCGCGGGUCAGGGGGUCUUAAUACCCGCACCCACCCGACCCGUGAUGAGAGGCAACCCGCAGAAAUAUGCUUUAAUCAUCCGGCCUGGUUUACUUCUUCAUUUACCGGAACGAUCUGCACCUUCUGCACCUUCUGCAUCUUCUGCACCUUCUGCAUCUUCUGCACCUUCUGCACCUUCUGCACCUUCUGCACCUUCUGCAUCUUCUGCACCUUCUGCACCUUCUGCACCUUCUGCACCUUCUGCACCUUCUGCACCUUCUGCAUCUUCUGCACCUUCUGCACCUUCUGCAUACACCUUCUGCACCUUCUGCAUCUUCUACACCUUCUGCACCUUCUGCACCUUCUGCACCUUCUGCACCUUCUGCACCUUCUGCAUCUUCUACACCUUCUGCACCUUCUGCACCUUCUGCACCUUCUGCACCUUCUGCACCUUCACCUUCUGCACCUUCUGCACCUUCUGCAUCUUCUGCAUCUACACCUUCUACACCUUCUGUACCUUCUGCAUCUACACCUUCUACACCUUCUGCAUCUUCUGCACCUUCUGCAUCUUCUACACCUUCUGCAUCUACACCUUCUACACCUUCUGCACCUUCUGCACCUUCUGCACCUUCUGCAUCUUCUGCACCUUCUGCAUCUUCUACACCUUCUGCACCUUCUGCACCUUCUGCACUUUCUGUACCUUCUGCACCUUCACCUUCUGCACCUUCACCUUCUGCACCUUCUGCACCUUCUGCAUCUACACCUUCUACACCUUCUGCACCUUCUGCACCUUCUGUACCUUCUGCAUCUACACCUUCUACACCUUCUGCACCUUCUGCAUCUUCUGCACCUUCUGCAUCUUCUACACCUUCUGCAUCUACACCUUCUACACCUUCUGCACCUUCUGCAUCUUCUGCAUCUUCUGCACCUUCUGCAUCUUCUACACCUUCUGCAUCUUCUACACCUUCUGC